RNAcentral lists this long non-coding RNA (570 nucleotides) under Brassica napus (rape). RNAcentral describes it as "long non-coding RNA (BNAP_LNC005387)". The record is from RNAcentral. Lineage: Eukaryota; Viridiplantae; Streptophyta; Magnoliopsida; Brassicales; Brassicaceae.
AUAGUAUCUUAGAUUUGUAGAACUUAUGUAAUAUAUCCAAAUAUCCAAUCCACCAUGCAUGUUAAUAAAGAAAACCAAAGCAUUUUGCUCAAUGGUCAAGUGGGUUUGAUCUUGCUGGCGUGACUUCCAAAAGAUGAGUUCCAAUUGGUACAAUAAAGCGACUUUAUACAUGCAACCUAGUUGUAUUUCAUGAUCAAAUUAAGUGGAAGACCAAAAUUUAUAUUGACGAUUAAUCUACAAAAGACUUUAGAUGAUAAAAAGACGAGCGUGGAAGUUUCAACGACUAUUUUCCUUUUAACACUAGACAAAAAGAAAAGGUUGAUCUCUCUCAUGAAGACAAACUAUUCUUUAGGUCAUACUAUGGUCUAAAAUAUCUCACUAUGAUUUUUUUGGUAAAAUUAUCUCACUAAGAUACACAAUAAAAAUGAAUCAUAUAUAUUACAAUGAAAUAAACCUAGCCAAAAUAAACAUUAAUCAAAUAAAAAGUUUUUCAAAAGAUUACCACCAUGUUGACAUGUUGUGAUGGGAUGCAAAUAAGUCUUAAAGGUUGAAUACUUUGUUAAAAAUGGU